Molecule: ribosomal RNA, 1514 nt
Filed under: metagenome
Description: bacterial LSU rRNA
Rfam family: Bacterial large subunit ribosomal RNA
Source: RNAcentral
GCCGAAAAUCUAAGGUUUCUUGGGGAAGGUUCGUCCGCCCAAGGUAAGCCGGGAGCUAAGGCGAGGCCGCAAGGCGUAGUCGAUGCACAUACGGUAAAGAUUCCGUAGCCGCCGAACUUUAAGUCAGAGGGACACUUGCAGAUAGCGGAACCCAGCCGUUGGUUGAGCUGGGCAUAAGGGACUGAAUUUAGUAGGGAAGUCCGCGAUGCUGAAAGGCGAGAAAAGCUCUGAUGGAUACUAAGGCGCCCGUACCGCAAACCGACACAGGUAGAUGAGGAGAGAAUCCUAAGGCCAACGGGAGAAGGGUUGUUAAGGAACUCGGCAAAUUGACCCCGUAACUUCGGAAGAAGGGGAGCCCCGAAAGGGGCCGCAGUGAAUAGGCCCAAGCAACUGUUUACCAAAAACACAGGUUUAUGCUAAAUCGAAAGAUGACGUAUAUGAGCUGACGCCUGCCCGGUGCCGGAAGGUUAAGAGGAGAGCUUAGAGCAAUCGAAGGUUUGAAUUGAAGCCCCGGUAAACGGCGGCCGUAACUAUAACGGUCCUAAGGUAGCGAAAUUCCUUGUCAGGUAAGUUCUGACCCGCACGAAUGGCGUAAUGAUUUGGGCACUGUCUCGACAGCCCGCCCGGCGAAAUUGUAGUACUGGUGAAGAUGCCAGUUACCCGCAACUAGACGGAAAGACCCCAUGGAGCUUUACUGCAGUUUAAUACUGGGAAUCGGUAAUGCAUGUACAGGAUAGGUGGGAGACUAGGAAGCAUGGUCGUCAGGUCAUGUGGAGUCACCGGUGGGAUACCACUCUUGUAUUGCUGAUUUCCUAACCUGCGGCCGUGAAUCCGGUCGGGGGACACUGUUAGACGGGCAGUUUGACUGGGGCGGUCGCCACCAAAAGAGUAACGGAGGCGCUCAAAGGUUCGUUCAGCACGGACGGAAAUCGUGCAUUGAGUGUAAACGCAUAAAUGAGCCUAACUGCGAGACCGACGGGUCGAGCAGUAACGAAAGUUGGAGUUAGUGAUCCGGUGGUAUGUGAGUGGAAAUGCCAUCGCUCAACGGAUAAAAGCUACCCUGGGAUAACAGGCUGAUCUCCCCCAAGCGUCCACAGCGACGGGGAGGUUUGGCACCUCGAUGUCGGCUCGUCGCAUCCUGGGGCUGUAUUCGGUCCCAAGGGUUUGGCUGUUCGCCAAUUAAAGCGGCACGCGAGCUGGGUUCAGAACGUCGUGAGACAGUUCGGUCCCUAUCUGUUGCGGGCGUAAGAGAUUUGAAGGGAGCUGUCCUUAGUACGAGAGGACCGGGAUGGACGUACCUCUGGUGCACCAGUUGUCCUGCCAAGGGCAUAGCUGGGUAGCUAUGUACGGACGAGAUAAACGCUGAAAGCAUCUAAGCGUGAAACUCCCCCUAAGAUGAGAUCUCUCAUCCAUUAUGGAGUAAGGGCCCAGAAAGACGAUCUGGUUGAUAGGCCGGAGGUGGAAGUGCAGUAAUGUAUGGAGCUGACCGGUACUAAUAGCCCGAGGGCUUGACC